CAUAACACUCAAUUAGAAAAAAAAUAAAAUCUCUUUCUUCUCUCUAAAUUCUCUCUCUACACAAAACCUCCAUCGAAGGACCUUGAAGCUCCAAGAGGAGGAUCAAUUCUAAAUGUUUUAAACUCAAUUUCGUUUCUAAGCCUUCAUUAAGAUAAAUAUCAUGAGUUUUGGAUGAAUUCAUGGAAGGGUAUCUUGGAGGCCAUUGGUUCGGGCCAUUGAAGUGAUUCUAGUCUUUUCUUGAAGAAUAUUGGGUUGCUAUUCCCAAGUUGGUGAGUCCUCAGGUCCGAGGAUGGAGAUGCUUGAUUCUAAUUCUAGUUUCACUUUCCUUAUUCAAAGACUAUGUUAUAAUUCGUAUUAUAAGACAUGUUAUUGAUGAAGGGCGACGUCCCAAUAUUCAUACUCUUAUGUCUAGAUGGAAAUGUGAGACAAGUUAGUUUCUAUCUAGAUAUAUGAAAUGAAGUUUAACUUUCAAUGAAAAUUUUUACAGU
Solanum lycopersicum (tomato) is the source of this 488-nucleotide non-coding RNA. NCBI's taxonomy places the organism in Eukaryota, Viridiplantae, Streptophyta, Magnoliopsida, Solanales, Solanaceae. The record is from RefSeq and is a predicted model, not a curated record.